This 495-nucleotide ribosomal RNA is filed under the name uncultured bacterium. RNAcentral describes it as "partial 16S ribosomal RNA". It matches the Rfam family "Bacterial small subunit ribosomal RNA", at positions 28 to 507 of the family's 1533-position model. The record is from RNAcentral.
GACGAACGCUGGCGGCGUGCCUAAUACAUGCAAGUAGAACGCUGAAGGAGGAGCUUGCUUCCCUGGAUGAGUUGCGCACGGGUGAGUAACGCGUAGGUAACCUGCCUGGUAGCGGGGGAUAACUAUUGGAAACGAUAGCUAAUACCGCAUAAUAGCAGUUGUUGCAUGACAACUGUUUGAAAGGUGCACUUGCACCACUACCAGAUGGACCUGCGUUGUAUUAGUUAGUUGGUGGGGUAACGGCUCACCAAGGCGACGAGACAUAGCCGACCUGAGAGGGGGAGAGGCCACACUGUGAAUGAGACACGGCCCAGACACCCACAGGAGGCAGCAGUAGAGAAACUUCGGCAAUGGGCGGAAGACUGACCGAGAAACGCGGCGUGAGUGAAGAAGGUUUUCGGAUCGUAAAGCUCUGUUGUAAGAGAAGAACGAGUGUGAGAGAGGAAAGUUCACAAUGUGACGGUAACUUACCAGAAAGGGACGGGUAACUACGUG